GGGCUAACAACCAACAGGCAGAGAAGGUGCAUUACAUAAGAUCCCACCAUCUGAACCCCGAACAUCCUGAACAUCCUAUGGCCAGAACUGCAACAGAUUAACAACCACACAGGGUGUGGGGAGGAGAGGACACAUAAUAGACCUCUAUGUAAAAAGGACUGUCAUGUUUUCACUGGUUUAUAAAUGUGCACUCAAAAGAAAACUAGCUUAAUUCAGGGCUGGCUCUUGAUUAAUUUAAGGAGAUCAACAAGAAAAUGAACACUAAAAAGUGUUGAGCACUUCAGAUUAAAACAAAACAAAAAGAACCUCAGCAUUUUGACAUCGUAAACACGAUACCUAGUUUCAUUCCUUGGCCCAGUGGCUGUUGAGCUACAUGGCCAGGGAUGAGGAUACAGAGACGACACUGACCAGGACUUGGGGGCAUCAGCUGUGGUGCUCAAAGGUGCGCCGGGACAGCUAGAUGGGAUGCAGGGCUUCCCUGAGGCGGGAACCACUGAGGAUGUGGCAGUUUAGGGUAAAGAUGAGGGUAGUCUGGAGGGGUCACUUCUGAGGACCCCACGGGGCAGCCGACUACAACUGUGCAACACACACGCAAGUUUCACAGCCAGGUGUGGGAAAGACCUUCCUGGGUUUUUAGCCUUGGCUCCACCUUUCUGUGCCUCGGUUUCUUCAAUUUUAAAGCGGCGACCUACCUCAUAAGGCUGUUCUGAGAAUUAAAUGAGCUAGUCAGUGUAAGGCAUGUUGGCGCUUCCUAAGCGGCAAUGACCAUGACGGUCGCCUUGGAUUUAGUAACCGUUGGGGAGGGGGGGGUGUGGUGGGUGGUUCCAGAGGGCUGACGGGGUGAGGAGCAGAGUCUGGGGGCGUGCCCUCACAGCAGAAGCCACAAGGGAAACAGCCGCGGGUAACAAUCCCCCUUUUGUACUCUCCUACACCAUCGGGGGUUUCCCUGUGGGGCUGGCUCCAUAUGCAGACGGAAUUCUGAUAUGGCCGAGAACAUGCGGUCAAAGGUGAGUUUGUGGUCACUGGGAAAUGGGAGCCACAGUCAGGUCCUACCUUGGUGUGGGCACACUGAUGGCCUCCUUUGCAUCUUCUUCCAGCAACUUCGUGUAAGAUGCCGGGAACCAACCCCUCCUACAGGUAAGUAAUCUACACAGAAACCAACUUAACCACCUUACAGUAAAGCCUGUGCACCUACUUGUUGAAAUGAGGACACUAGCCUUUAAACUAUUUGUGGGCUAAAUCUUAACAAAAUCUAUCUAAUGUGCAUAUUAUCCUUGAGAAAUCCAAAGUCACAUUAAAAAAAAGGAAGACAAAGAGUAUUUAAAGUACUUUCUGAGGCGACUUCAUAUGAUCUAUUCAAGAAUCAAACUCAUCUGCAGAUGCACAGACAUAUAGAAAAUGGCCCGGAACAGAGUAUAACUCCGAUGAACUAAACUAGGAACUUAACUUUGGUAAAAAUACUACAGUGACCACAAGGACUCUGCUGCUCAACGGAGAUACAGCAGUUCCCUGAAGCAGCGGGCGGUCCUGACUCCUGCGCGGGCAGCAUCUACCCCAAGACUUACGCUUUAGUGGUGUCGUGCUCCCCAUAAAGCCAGCCGUCUUUCUCCUCAGGGACGAGCAGCGUGAGGACAUCUCCCUGGGCGAAGCUGAGCAAGCUCUGGUUCGCGCCUGCGGUGUGUGGGAAGAUGGUUUUCACCUUCUGCUUCUUCAUCAUGUUCAGUCCGGUUGCGACAGAAACCGAUCGCUGUAAACUGGGAUCAUCUGAAGAAUCUGUUAAAACUGAGCACGGCAGCGAUUGCUUUUCAAAGAGCGAUAACACGGCAAGUUCACACCAGCAAACCCCAGAAAGCCACCCACUCCUGUCUGCCAGCGAUCCUUCCACUUCAGCUCCACGCGCCGUAUCUCCGAGCCUUAGUCUUUGCCUGGACCAACGGACGGAUGGGCGGGGAACAGCGGCCUGAGGCCCCCCACCGAGGACGACCCUUGAGGCUAAAUGCUCUUCCCCACGCAGAGAGGACACACAGAGGCCAAGCCUCACCCGUGCUCUGAGGUAAUCAGAGGCCAGCUGAUGCAUCACCAGAGGGUCUGAUGCCUUCCUCACCCUCCUCUCCCAACAUGAAUCCCAAGGCAAGGCGGGAUCUCCUCAAACCCCACUGCCCACGCUCUGGGCUGCAAGGAACAAGAGGAGACUGGAAAUGCAGCUAUUCUCGCCGUGCUCACUAACUGAACCCUAAUCAGUGCCGUCCACACUUUGGAUGCUUCGCAGAUUCUGAGGGAAGGACUAGUUAUCAUCCACAGUGACUCAGUGGGAUCACAGCUAGCACGUGGCCUAGCUGGGCACCAGAUGUGGGUAGCCUGACCCCACAGCCCGGACUUUGAUACGUGAAGCGCUAUGUGACCUGUACAUUUCUGUCUCCCUUGGAGUGCGGGCUGAUACUUACCACUCCAAAGAAACAAAAUAGCCAUUCUGAAAAUCUCCUCUCCUGUCUCACCCAGGGCUGCAAAGGCUGCAGUCUGUGGCUCUCUCUAGCACAUGGCUUGAAGGCCAUGACUUUCAUGAGUGAGCCUCUGAGACACCUAUCACAGAAAGAGGGGUCUCUGGUGUCAAAAACUCUGCACAGAGCAGAGCCUAACCAAAGCUGCCUGAAAUGUCUGCAAACAGUAACUGGUCCUGAUUUAUUAAAACAGCAUCAACAGAAAUUUAAGCAGCGAGAACUUAAGUGUUCAGAAGGCAUGAAGUUCUCUGUUAGAGAUGAUGUAAAACGCUGAUUAUAAUUCAAACCAAGUCUACUGGUAAGAUUAAUAACCAUAAUUUUGUCAUGGGAACUUUAAUAGUUUAUUGAAAAAAUAAAUUUUAUUACAAUUGCCACCUAAUAUGGCACUCAGUGUGGAGGCUCUUUGUACAUUAUAUUUUAAAAUGUAACACCUUUCUUUUAAAAAAAAAAAUUUUUUUAAUGUUAAUUUUUGAGAGAGAUAGAGAGAGGCAGAGCACAAGCGGGGGAGGGACAGGGUAAGAGAGGGAGACACAGAAUCCGAAGCAGGCUCCAGGCUCUGAGCUGUCAGCACAGAGCCUAGUGUGGGGCUCAAACCCACAAACCGCGAGAUCAAGACAUGAGCCGAACAUGAGUCAGAUGCCCAACCGACUGAGCCACCCAGGUGCCCCUAAAAUGUAACACCUUUCAAUAGCACAAUUACUCUAUAUAAACAUGAAUCAGUACAUGGAAUUAGUAUGUGUUAAAGUGUCACUUAUAAAAUGUCUUACGGUUUUAUAAUAAACUCAUACCUUUAUUUAUUUUGAAGUGUAAGUUCCAAUAAGGCAAUGCUGAAUUCUACUUCAUGGUAACAUUUAUCCAAAAUAUUAAAAAAAAUUUAAAAAGGUAUUUAAAAAGGGGCACCUGGGUGGCUCAGUCAGUUGAGCAUCUGACUUCAGCUCAGGUUAUGAUCUCACAGUUUGUGAGUUCGAGCCCCACGUCAGGCUCUGUGCAGACAGCUCAGAGCCUAGAGCCUGCUUCAGAUCCUGUGUCUCCCUCUCUCUCUGCCCCUUCCCCGCUCAUGCUCUGUCUCUGUCUCUCAAAAAUGAAUAAACGUUAAAAAAAAUUUUUU
This is a long non-coding RNA of Neofelis nebulosa (Clouded leopard), 3606 nucleotides long. RefSeq lists it as uncharacterized. The record is from RefSeq and is a predicted model, not a curated record. The transcript is spliced from 2 exons. NCBI's taxonomy places the organism in Eukaryota, Metazoa, Chordata, Mammalia, Carnivora, Felidae.